This 422-nucleotide ribosomal RNA is filed under the name uncultured Bacteroidales bacterium. RNAcentral's name for it is "bacterial SSU rRNA". It matches the Rfam family "Bacterial small subunit ribosomal RNA", at positions 355 to 774 of the family's 1533-position model. Lineage: Bacteria; Pseudomonadati; Bacteroidota; Bacteroidia; Bacteroidales. The record is from RNAcentral.
UGAGGAAUAUUGGUCAAUGGGCGGAAGCCUGAACCAGCCAUGCCGCGUGAAGGAAUAAGGUCCUAUGGAUCGUAAACUUCUUUUGAGCGGGAGCAAUAAGGUCUACGAGUAGACCGAUGAGAGUACCGUUCGAAUAAGCAUCGGCUAACUCCGUGCCAGCAGCCGCGGUAAUACGGAGGAUGCAAGCGUUAUCCGGAUUUAUUGGGUUUAAAGGGUGCGUAGGCCGUUGUGCAAGUCAGAGGUGAAAUCGCGGGGCUCAACCCCGUGUCUGCCUUUGAUACUGUAUGACUUGAAUGUUGUUGCCGUGGGAGGAAUGAGUAGUGUAGCGGUGAAAUGCAUAGAUAUUACUCAGAACACCGAUUGCGAAGGCAUCUCACGAAACAAUUAUUGACGCUGAGGCACGAAAGCGUGGGUAUCCAACA